RNAcentral lists this ribosomal RNA (311 nucleotides) under Migas sp. CG229. RNAcentral describes it as "partial 12S ribosomal RNA". The record is from RNAcentral. Lineage: Eukaryota; Metazoa; Arthropoda; Arachnida; Araneae; Migidae.
AGGUAAUACUAUUUAAGAAACCUUACUUCUUUGGCAGCCUAUUUUCUUAUUAGAGGAACUCGUUAGAUAAUCGACUUUACUCGUUCAAUUUCACAAGUUUUUAUGUCUUUAUACCGCCGUCUGAAGAAUAAAUUUAAAUCUUCUUUUCUAAAAAGUUUUCUUAUAAGUCAGGUCAAGGUGAAAUUUAUAAAUUUGGGCUUAAUAAGUUACUCAUUAAAAUAAUUAAAGAAUUCUAUGUAAAAACAUAAAUGAAAAAGGAUUUGAUAGUAAUUUUUUAUUAAUAUUGUAAAAUGAAAUUGCAAAACAGGUGU